GACGAACGCUGGCGGCGUGCUUAACACAUGCAAGUCGAACGGAAAGGCCCUGCUUUUGUGGGGUGCUCGAGUGGCGAACGGGUGAGUAACACGUGGGUAACCUGCCCUUGACUUUGGGAUAACUUCAGGAAACUGGGGCUAAUACCGGAUAGGAGCUCCUGCUGCAUGGUGGGGGUUAGAAAGUUUCGGCGGUUGGGGAUGGACUCGCGGCUUAUCAGCUUGUUGGUGGGGUAGUGGCUUACCAAGGCUUUGACGGGUAGCCGGCCUGAGAGGGUGACCGGCCACAUUGGGACUGAGAUACGGCCCAGACUCCUACGGGAGGCAGCAGUGGGGAAUAUUGCACAAUGGGCGGAAGCCUGAUGCAGCAACGCCGCGUGCGGGAUGACGGCCUUCGGGUUGUAAACCGCUUUCGCCUGUGACGAAGCGUGAGUGACGGUAAUGGGUAAAGAAGCACCGGCUAACUACGUG
RNAcentral lists this ribosomal RNA (468 nucleotides) under uncultured bacterium. RNAcentral describes it as "partial 16S ribosomal RNA". It matches the Rfam family "Bacterial small subunit ribosomal RNA", at positions 28 to 507 of the family's 1533-position model. The record is from RNAcentral.